CAGCAGCCGCGGUAAUACCGGCGGCCCGAGUGGCGGUCACUAUUAUUGGGCUUAAAGCGUCCGUAGCCGGGUUGGGAAGUCCUCCGGGAAAUCUGGCCGCUUAACGGUCCGAAUGCCGGAGGAUACUCCCAGCCUAGGGAGCGGGAGAGGCCGAGGGUAUUCCCGGGGUAGGGGUGAAAUCCUAUAAUCCCGGGAGGACCACCUGUGGCGAAGGCGCUCGGCUGGAACGCGUCCGACGGUGAGGGACGAAGGCCAGGGGAGCAAACCGGAUUAGAUACCCGGGUAGUCCUGGCUGUAAACGAUGCGGACUUUGUGUCGGACAAGCUAUGAGCUUGUCCGGUGCCGGAGGGAAACCGUUAAGUCCGCCGCCUGGGGAGUACGGCCGCAAGGCUGAAACUUAAAGGAAUUGGCGG
Molecule: ribosomal RNA, 413 nt
Filed under: uncultured microorganism
Description: bacterial SSU rRNA
Rfam family: Archaeal small subunit ribosomal RNA
Source: RNAcentral